Molecule: ribosomal RNA, 253 nt
Filed under: uncultured bacterium
Lineage: Bacteria
Description: partial 16S ribosomal RNA
Rfam family: Bacterial small subunit ribosomal RNA
Source: RNAcentral
UACGUAGGUGACCAGCGUUGUCCGGAAUUAUUGGGCGUAAAGAGCUCGUAGGCGGUUUGUCGCGUCUGCUGUGAAAUCCCGAGGCUCAACCUCGGGUCUGCAGUGGGUACGGGCAGACUGGAGUGCGGUAGGGGAGAAUGGAAUUCCUGGUGUAGCGGUGGAAUGCGCAGAUAUCAGGAGGAACACCGAUGGCGAAGGCAGUUCUCUGGGCCGUAACUGACGCUGAGGAGCGAAAGCGUGGGGAGCGAACAGG